Molecule: ribosomal RNA, 492 nt
Filed under: uncultured bacterium
Lineage: Bacteria
Description: partial 16S ribosomal RNA
Rfam family: Bacterial small subunit ribosomal RNA
Source: RNAcentral
AGUGAACGCUGGCGGUAUGCCUAACACAUGCAAGUCGAACGGCAGCACAGUAAGAGCUUGCUCUUACGGGUGGCGAGUGGCGGACGGGUGAGGAAUACAUCGGAAUCUACUUUUUCGUGGGGGAUAACGUAGGGAAACUUACGCUAAUACCGCAUACGACCUACGGGUGAAAGCAGUGGAUCUUCGGACCUUGCGCGAUUGAAUGAGCCGAUGUCGGAUUAGCUAGUUGGGCGGGUAAAGGCCCACCAAGGCGACGAUCCGUAGCUGGUCUGAGAGGAUGAUAAGCCACCCUGGAACUGAGACACGGUCCAGACUCCUACGGGAGGCAGCAGUGGGGAAUAUUGGACAAUGGGCGCAAGCCUGAUCCAGCCAUACCGCGUGGGUGAAGAAGGCCUUCGGGUUGUAAAGCCCUUUUGUUGGGAAAGAAAAACAGCAGGUUAAUACCCAGCUGUUCUGACGGUACCCAAAGAAUAAGCACCGGCUAACUUCGUG